CUUGGUCAUUUAGAGGAAGUAAAAGUCGUAACAAGGUUUCCGUAGGUGAACCUGCGGAAGGAUCAUUACUGAUUUGCUUAAUUGCACCACAUGUGUUUUUUAUUGAACAAAUUUCUUUGGUGGCGGGAGCAAUCCUACCGCCAGAGGUUAUAACUAAACCAAACUUUUUAUUUACAGUCAAACUUGAUUUAUUAUUACAAUAGUCAAAACUUUCAACAACGGAUCUCUUGGUUCUCGCAUCGAUGAAGAACGCAGCGAAAUGCGAUACGUAAUAUGAAUUGCAGAUAUUCGUGAAUCAUCGAAUCUUUGAACGCACAUUGCGCCCUUUGGUAUUCCAAAGGGCAUGCCUGCUUGAGCGUCAUUUCUCCCUCAAACCCCCGGGUUUGGUGUUGAGCAAUACGCUAGGUUUGUUUGAAAGAAUUUACGUGGAAACUUAUUUUAAGCGACUUAGGUUUAUCCAAAACGCUUAUUUUGCUAGUGGCCACCACAAUUUAUUUCAUAACUUUGACCUCAAAUCAGGUAGGACUACCCGCUGAACUUAAGCAUAUCAAUAAGCGGAGG
Molecule: ribosomal RNA, 561 nt
Filed under: uncultured Lodderomyces
Lineage: Eukaryota; Fungi; Ascomycota; Pichiomycetes; Serinales; Debaryomycetaceae
Description: eukaryotic LSU rRNA
Rfam family: 5.8S ribosomal RNA (bases 208-361)
Source: RNAcentral